UUUCAUUAACAUUUAAUCAUGAAUAUAGCAAUUGUAUGUUUAUACAGUAUGUGCCACUAAUUUCAUGGAUAGGGGGCAGUUAGUUUUAUUUUCUAACAUGCGUUUGUAAACGAACCUUCUAUAUUACUAUAUUUCAGUGCUGGUAAUUCUGCAAACAACGAUCCUUUCGCUGUAAAUAACGAUCCAUUUGCCAGUAAUAAUGGCAUGAUGGACAUGAUGUUGUUAGGUGGAUUUGGAUUCGGUGGAGGACUGUUUGGGUUCUAAAAGUACGGCCUCAUGAUGUUUGAGGGUCUCGGUUUCGGAGGUGCUUUUUAAAAUCUUUCCAACAACUCACAGAAUGUACAGUCACAUAUAUUUUCAUUACUGUCAUAUACAAAACACAUAUUUAACAUGUGUAUACAUAUAGUUAUUUUAGAACUGAUUUAUUCAAUCUUGAAUUUUCGAAAUUGUAAAGUAAAUAUUGUAUUAAUAAUGAUGAUUGUGUUGAGUGAUAUCUCCCUUUAUAUGUCACCAUGGGAACGACUGAUUAUCAGUUUAUUGAUGAAAAGAUAAUGGAAGCAAGUUUUAUAAUAUUGAGUUUGUAUCAUAACAAUUAUAAUAUAAAUUAAGGAAC
Long non-coding RNA from Ruditapes philippinarum (Manila clam), 613 nucleotides. RefSeq lists it as uncharacterized. The record is from RefSeq and is a predicted model, not a curated record. NCBI's taxonomy places the organism in Eukaryota, Metazoa, Mollusca, Bivalvia, Venerida, Veneridae. The transcript has 3 exons.